UGCAAAAUCCUUGCUCCUAUGUGCUGGUU
This 29-nucleotide non-coding RNA is filed under the name Rattus norvegicus (Norway rat). The record is from RNAcentral. Lineage: Eukaryota; Metazoa; Chordata; Mammalia; Rodentia; Muridae.